Molecule: ribosomal RNA, 254 nt
Filed under: uncultured bacterium
Lineage: Bacteria
Description: partial 16S ribosomal RNA
Rfam family: Bacterial small subunit ribosomal RNA
Source: RNAcentral
UACAGGGGGUGCAAACGUUGCUCGGAAUUAUUGGGCGUAAAGCGCACGUAGGCGGGCGCAGUAAGUCCCAUGUGAAAGCCCACGGCUUAACCGUGGAAGUGCAUGGGAAACUACUGUGCUUGAGUACUUAAGAGGAUCGCGGAAUUCCCGGUGUAGAGGUGAAAUUCGUAGAUAUCUGGAGGAACACCGGUGGCGAAGGCGGCGAUCUGGCCCAACACUGACACUGAGACCCGAAAGCGUGGGGAUCAAACAGG